Suricata suricatta (meerkat) is the source of this 222-nucleotide long non-coding RNA. RefSeq lists it as uncharacterized. The transcript has 3 exons. NCBI's taxonomy places the organism in Eukaryota, Metazoa, Chordata, Mammalia, Carnivora, Herpestidae. The record is from RefSeq and is a predicted model, not a curated record.
CUCCAGUUAGCACAGCUGAUUGUGGACGGAGGUCACCUUCCCCGCUGCAGGAGCUGAGACAUGACUGGACUGAAGAGAAGAGGGUAUAAUCAUACUAAGGUUUCUUGAUGGGAAAAUGGCACCAAGAAUUUUAAAGAAUUUAUUAAAUAAAAGGCAAAUAUUAUGUCUGCUGAAUUAAAAUCUCUGGAGAUGAGGUCCAAGUAUCUGCCUUUAUUAAAGACU